AGGAAGACAGGGCUGAGGAGGAAGGCGAGGCCACUACAGAAGAGGAGGACAAGGAGGAACCUGCGACUUCUGCACCCUCUGUCAAGGUGGGUCUCACGUGCACUCCUCUCUGGCCCUCCUAGGGUACCUGGGGAUGGGCAGCAUGGAGGCCAGCCCAGACUGCCCUGUGGCUGAGCCCCUCAGGUCAGGCCUCCACUCACUGGCCCCCUGGCUGCCUGGAGGAGGGGUGGGUGCAUCUCUGCUGUGACUGCUGCGUCUCUGUGUGCGCCUCACUACAAGUCCCCAGGGUCGGCCUUAGCUGAAGCCCCGACAUAUGAGUGUCUGCCGUGAUCAGCAGUGUCGUCCCCAUGUGCCCCUCUCAGUCCCUGGGCACCUCCGCUCUAGCACUGACCUUCAUCGAGGCUCACGGCGACCCUCUGGGCCAGUGUUUGCCCGUUAGACCUGCAGGCUAGCAGGACCCAGAAGCUGAGGGCAGGUGCACUGCAUACCCUCAGCCUUUUGGGCACAGGGGGCGCUGGCAGGAUGCUCUCCUCUCUGAGAGCUGCUGGCUCCCAGGAUCCUCCCUGCCUAGCCAUGACUUGGCCAGGAGGCCCUGCUGCUGGCAUGCAAUUUGUCCUGUGGGUCUGACAGUCACUCUUCUUCCUUGCAAGACAUCCCUGGCUCCCAGCAGAUUCUUGGGGAAUUGUCUUGUGCCUUCCUGAUCCUCAGUUUGUUCUCAAUGGCUCAUAACAGGUCCCUCCUGCUCAUGGGGACCCUUGAUGCCAAAGAAAGCCCCAGGCUGCCCAGAGGACCCACCUUCCCCACCCCCAUGAUGCCCCUACCCUGAGCAUGGGUUGAUGACAUGUGGCAGUGAGAAGCCUGGGGUCCUAUCAGGGAUGGCUAGGCCUGGGCUCAGCCCCACUCUGGAGCUUCCCCCCAGCCAGCCCAACCCUACCGUCUGUCAGGUCUGCAGCCUUGUGUCAUAGACAGAGGUAACCCUUGUCAGUGCCAGGAACAAGUUGGGAGGGACUGGCUCAGGCGACAGGAGCUUGGUGUGGUCUUCCUUCUGUCUUGUCUGCUCAUGGCCGGGCUGGUGAGGUGGUGGAGGUCCCUGGCGGUGGCUAACCUGCAUGCCUCGCUGGUCCUGUCCUAACAGGGCGUGUCGUUUGACCAGGCCAAUAACCUGCUGAUAGAGCCUGCUCGCAUUGAGGAGGAAGAGGUCUGUACUGCUCACUGCUGCUCUGUGCUCUGGGCCCGGGUCUGCUGCUGACCUUGCUUCCUGGGCUGCGGGUUCUUGCCUCUCCCCACCCCAUCACUUAAGCAUAGACCCUUUCCCAGAAGAGCUCCUGGCAGCUGCUACAGAAAUGGGGUCCUGGGGCUGCCCCGAUAGGGCCUGCUGGUCUUUUGGCAGAGGCAGCACAUCUCUGCCCCCACUGCGGCCUUUCUUGUAGAGGACAAACAGAGGGCCAACGCCAGGCCAUCCGUGUUCAUUCUCUGCAGCUGUGACUGCCCCACGCCUCAGAUACCUCCCAGCUCCUCUUCUGCCUCUGCUACCCUGGCAGGCGGAGGGACCUCAAAAAGAAACCAAAAGGAGCUGUCUGUGGCUGGCCUUGCUGUGCCGCAAGCACACAGACGGCUCAAGCCCUCCCAAACACAGUGUCUGCUCUGUUUCCAGCUGACCCUCACCAUCGUGCGCCAGACUGGGGGCCUUGGCAUCAGCAUCGCAGGGGGCAAGGGUUCCACCCCCUACAAGGGAGAUGACGAGGUGAGCAGCUGCCCCAGGCUAUAGCUGCCCUGGGCUCCCUCCUGCCCCAGACCUGCCUACACUCACUGGCCCAGAGGCUUCUGCUCCAAGGGGUGUUGGAUGCCUGCCGCCAGCCCCACAGUUCAGUCUUCUGUGUGCUUUGCCUGCACUUGGCCACCAGCCCCAGAGUGCACAGGCUGGGCCCAAGGCAGCAGGCAGACGGGGAUGUGCGCACGUGGGAGUUCACAGUCUAGAGCAGCUUGUUUCUCUUCUGCAAUCUGGUCUUCCCUCACACACUCUGGGCGUAGUGCCCGGGUCAAAGCCCUGACCCGCACUUUCUACUUCCUGGACGUAGGACCCACAGUGGUCUCUACUUAGGCCGUAUGUCUUCCUUCAUGUUCUUGGGGAUCUUUGCAGCAUCCCCAGAGAGCAGGCUGGGCUAGGGUCUGAAGGGACCAGGUCUCCCUCCAGUAAGUGCCUCCUGGCCUCCCAGAAAGGGCAAGACAGAAGGCUCUUAAGGAAUCCCCAACUCCUGUCCCCAGGGUGUCUUCAUUUCUCGGGUGUCUGAGGAGGGCCCUGCGGCCCGGGCUGGAGUCCGAGUGGGCGACAAACUCCUUGAGGUGAGUAGUGACUGCUGGCCAGUGACACCUGUGCUCUGGGGUGCCAUCUGGGCUGUUGGGGUAUUUAGUUGUGCCUAUCGGAUGGGGGCACUGUCUACCCUCUCCAGAAGCCCUGAGCCCCAGACCCCAGGACUCCCCCAAACCCUCUUUGGGCAGGAUGUGUAGUGCAGGCACCUAAAACCCCAGAAUCGGGAGGGCUGGGAAAGGGGUCAGACCCCAGCAGGUUGUGGGGCUCAGAUCCUUGUGAGAGACUUGGCACCCCCACCAGGGCACCUGGCUGUUGGAUAUAGGCUGUGCCCUUCCUGUGGGGACAAGGGUGAGGGCCCUGAGGGUAUCAGAAGAGGCUGGUGCUCCUCCUGCUCUCCUGCUCAGCUCUCUUCCCAGCCUCUCUUGGGGGCUCCUGUCCAAGGUGGCGUGUGAGUGUGGGGUCGGUGACCUGGUAAUCCUGGGCAUUCUCUGGGGCUGCUCAGACAGACCCAGAUGGUAGGUUUCCAGAAGCAAGGUGAGUGGUGUGGACUGUUCCAGGGGCAGAUGCCUGUGCUCUGGGAACCGCCAUAGGUGGGGACGAAGCCCAUCAGGAGCUCUGGGUACCCCCUCUCCCUGCCCUUCCCAUCCAUGGAGGGAAGCGUGGGCAGAGGCCACACGAGCCGUUGUCAUGGCGUCAGUGCUCAGGUGUCGGGGUGGCCGCAGCUGGGUGCUGACGUGUGCCGGGCCUCCCACACCUACAGGUGAACGGCGUGGCUUUGCAGGACGCUGAGCACCAUGAGGCUGUGGAGGCCCUCCGAGGGGCAGGCACAGCCGUGCAGAUGCGUGUGUGGCGGGAACGCAUGGUAGAACCUGAGAACGCAGUCACCAUCACACCCCUGCGGCCCGAGGACGACUACAGCCCCCGAGAGCGG
Molecule: long non-coding RNA, 3242 nt
Filed under: Marmota monax (woodchuck)
Lineage: Eukaryota; Metazoa; Chordata; Mammalia; Rodentia; Sciuridae
Source: RNAcentral